This 538-nucleotide ribosomal RNA is filed under the name uncultured Pelagibacterales bacterium. Its description in RNAcentral is "bacterial SSU rRNA". It matches the Rfam family "Bacterial small subunit ribosomal RNA", at positions 128 to 699 of the family's 1533-position model. Lineage: Bacteria; Pseudomonadati; Pseudomonadota; Alphaproteobacteria; Candidatus Pelagibacterales. The record is from RNAcentral.
ACCCUUUGGCCUGGAAUAACACGAGGAAACUUGUGCUAAUACCGGAUAAGUCUUUACGGAGAAAGCUUUAUGCACCAUUGGAUGAGCCCGCACUUGAUUAGUUUGUUGGUAGGGUAAUGGCCUACCAAGACUAUGAUCAAUAGCUGAUUUGAGAGGAUGAUCAGCCACAUUGGGACUGAGACACGGCCCAAACUCCUACGGGAGGCAGCAGUGGGGAAUCUUGCACAAUGGAGGAAACUCUGAUGCAGCGAUGCCGCGUGAGUGAAGAAGGCCUUUGGGUUGUAAAGCUCUUUCGUCGGGGAAGAAAAUGACUGUACCCGAAUAAGAAGGUCCGGCUAACUUCGUGCCAGCAGCCGCGGUAAUACGAAGGGACCUAGCGUAGUUCGGAAUUACUGGGCUUAAAGAGUUCGUAGGUGGUUGAAAAAGUUGGUGGUGAAAUCCCAGAGCUUAACUCUGGAACUGCCAUCAAAACUUUUCAGCUAGAGUAUGAUAGAGGAAAGCAGAAUUUCUAGUGUAGAGGUGAAAUUCGUAGAUAUUA